AUGAUCAGAUGUAGAACAGAAAUCUUAGUAGGUUCAAUAAAAAACAUUUUCUGAGAAAGGUGAUUUACAGAAAAUGGUAAUGUGUCAGACAUCUAACUUGUUAUUAUAUCUGAAGAACCUUCUACUCUACUGGAACCGACGUGGCACUUCACUAGUUUUUCAGAACUCAACUAGAUUACAGCCUGGAGUUAAGUCAGUGCCCUAUCUGCAUGUUGUAAUUGUUUUGGUAGUCAGGUGUUGACGAAGAUUCCAUAUGACUUACACAGAUCAUAGGUUCCAUUUGGAGAACUAGGAAAAAGACUGACUGUUUUUAGC
RNAcentral lists this long non-coding RNA (315 nucleotides) under Nicotiana benthamiana. RNAcentral describes it as "long non-coding RNA (NBEN_LNC033506)". The record is from RNAcentral. Lineage: Eukaryota; Viridiplantae; Streptophyta; Magnoliopsida; Solanales; Solanaceae.